CCUACGGGAGGCAGCAGUGGGGAAUAUUGCGCAAUGGGCGAAAGCCUGACGCAGCGACGCCGCGUGAGGGAUGAAGGUCUUCGGAUCGUAAACCUCUGUCAGCAGGGAAGAACGGUCAGUGGGCGAAGCAGCAGUGAAUGGACGGUACCGGCAAAGGAAGCACCGGCUAACUCCGUGCCAGCCGCCGCGGUAAGACGGGGGGUGCGAGCGUGAAGCGGAAGUACGGGGCGGAAAGCGCUCGUAGGCGGUAUGUCAAUGCCCGGGUGAAAGCCCCGCGCGCAACGUGGGAACGGCCUUUGAAACUGGCAACCUGGAGUGUGUGUGAGGCUAGUGGAAUUCCAGGUGUAGGAGUGCAAUCCGUAGAU
Molecule: ribosomal RNA, 365 nt
Filed under: uncultured bacterium
Lineage: Bacteria
Description: partial 16S ribosomal RNA
Rfam family: Bacterial small subunit ribosomal RNA
Source: RNAcentral